AUACGUAGGGUGCGAGCGUUAAUCGGAAUUACUGGGCGUAAAGCGUGCGCAGGCGGUUUUGUAAGACAGGCGUGAAAUCCCCGAGCUCAACUUGGGAAUGGCGCUUGUGACUGCAAGGCUAGAGUAUGUCAGAGGGGGGUAGAAUUCCACGUGUAGCAGUGAAAUGCGUAGAGAUGUGGAGGAAUACCGAUGGCGAAGGCAGCCCCCUGGGACGUCACUGACGCUCAUGCACGAAAGCGUGGGGAGCAAACAGGAUUAGAUACCCUGGUAGUCCACGCUGUAAACGAUGAGUGUUAGGUGUAGGGGGCUUGAAGCUUUCUGUGCCGCAGUAAACGCAAUAAACACUCCGCCUGGGGAGUACGGUCGCAAGACUAAA
This 376-nucleotide ribosomal RNA is filed under the name uncultured bacterium. RNAcentral describes it as "bacterial SSU rRNA". It matches the Rfam family "Bacterial small subunit ribosomal RNA", at positions 523 to 898 of the family's 1533-position model. The record is from RNAcentral.